This 387-nucleotide ribosomal RNA is filed under the name uncultured eukaryote. RNAcentral describes it as "partial 18S ribosomal RNA". It matches the Rfam family "Eukaryotic small subunit ribosomal RNA", at positions 592 to 976 of the family's 1831-position model. The record is from RNAcentral.
CAAUAGCGUAUAUUAACGUUGUUGCAGUUAAAAGGCUCGUAGUCGAACCUAUGAUCUCGUGCACUCGAACCUCUGUCAAGCACAGUGUGUGUCGAUGUUCACAGAUCAUCCUUCUGGAAAACACUUCUGCCCUUGAUUGGGUUGGUUGUGGGAUCCAGAUCAUUUACUGUGAGUAAAUCAAAGUGUUCAAAGCAGGCUUUCACGCUUGUAUGCUCUAGCAUGGAAUAAUAAGAUAGGACUUUGGUUCUAUUUUGUUGGCUUCUAGGACCAAAGUAAUGAUUGAAAGGGAUAGUUGGGGGUGCUAGUAUUUAACGGUCAGCGGUGAAAUGCAUGGACCCGUUAAAGACUAACUUAUGCGAAAGCAUUCACCAAGGAUAUUUUCUUUGA